Molecule: long non-coding RNA, 647 nt
Filed under: Felis catus (domestic cat)
Lineage: Eukaryota; Metazoa; Chordata; Mammalia; Carnivora; Felidae
Description: lncRNA (ENSFCAG00000042000.2)
Source: RNAcentral
AAGUAACAAAAGCGUGAGGCACCUGGAAUCAGCAGCAUUUGUGCCUAAUGCCAGCAACAAUAUAAAGCAUUCAAGUGACAUUUGAUAAUGAGCAGACAGUGGAGGCAUUACACACGUCUUUAGAAGAAUCAGACUUCCUACCUUGAAAAGACAGAUGGAGGUUUCCACCACUGACCAAGGAUAUUGGACGAUUUUCAUCUCUUCCCUUCCCUCCGAUGACAUGAGGUUCCAUUUAAUAGUCCCACUUGGAAGCAGAUUGACAAAGCAGGAUUGAGCGUUGACCGAUUACAUCUGGAAUUUUGUCCACCCACAGGUAGAAGCAAUUGCCGAUAGCAGAAGGAGGAGAAGGCUCAACAUGGCUGUAUUGCAUCCACAAUGUUCAUCUCUGGCCAGGCACUCAGUUUCUAUCUAAAAACCAACUAGUGUGUUUCCUGGCACCUUUUCCAAGUUGUUGCUUUUAGCAUCCUCUCUGUAUCAUGCACUGAACACAGUAUACCCUCAGUAACUCAUUUAAUGUCACAAAUUUAGCAGCACUCAAAGAAUUAUUCAUCUCUUGGAAUAAUGCACCUCAGCAAGGCUUGAAACUGAGCUAAAAUGGGAUUUUUUUAAACCCAGAUUAUCAGUGGAUGUAAUACCCAAGAGUUGUC